Molecule: ribosomal RNA, 618 nt
Filed under: Triticum aestivum (bread wheat)
Lineage: Eukaryota; Viridiplantae; Streptophyta; Magnoliopsida; Poales; Poaceae
Description: partial small subunit ribosomal RNA
Source: RNAcentral
AUGGCCGUCGAGAAGAUGCACUUGUCCAUGCCGUUGCCCGCCGGCUUGGAGGGUUUCCCCUUCACCACGUUCCAGGCGGAGCUGGAGGCCUUCACCGUCAAGUUGAGGGCGGAGGCGAAGAAGGCCAAGGCCAAGCCGGAGGUCAAGGAGGCCAAGGCCAAGGAGGAGAAGGCCAAGCCGGAGGUCAAGGCCAAGGUGAAGAAGGCCAAGGCGAAGGAGGCCAAGCCGGAGGUCGAGGCCAAGUCAAAGGAGGUCAAGGCCAAGGUGGAGUUGAGGACCCUCACCAAGGAGGAGGAGGAGGCGCUCAUCAAGUUCGUGGCGCUGCUGGAGAAGGAGGAGGACUUCCUCGACGCCAAGGCGGAGGCGGAGAAGGAGGCGGAGAAGUGUGGCUCCAAGAGGAAGGUGGAGUUGGAGCGGGAUGAGGAGGGGGCAGCGUUCCUGGCGUGGAUCGAGUCCACCAAGCCACAGACGGACCAAGUGGAUUACUCGGAUGGGGAUGUGUCGGACGGCUACCACUCGCAGGACGACAACAUCGGCAGCGACGGCAGGGUCAUGUCGCGGUAUGAGCGCCAUGUUCAGGCCAACAACGCUCGCUGUCCUUUCUUGGUGGGGGCCUAA